UACGUAGGGUGCGAGCGUUGUCCGGAAUUACUGGGCGUAAAGAGCUCGUAGGUGGUUUGUCGCGUUGUCCGUGAAAACUCACAACUCAAUUGUGGGCGUGCGGGCGAUACGGGCAGACUGGAGUACUGCAGGGGAGACUGGAAUUCCUGGUGUAGCGGUGGAAUGCGCAGAUAUCAGGAAGAACACCCGUGGCGAAGGCGGCUCUCUGGGACGGUACUGACGCUGAGACGCGAAAGCGUGGGGAGCGAACAGG
RNAcentral lists this ribosomal RNA (253 nucleotides) under uncultured bacterium. RNAcentral's name for it is "partial 16S ribosomal RNA". It matches the Rfam family "Bacterial small subunit ribosomal RNA", at positions 524 to 776 of the family's 1533-position model. The record is from RNAcentral.